UGGGAGCUGGGCUGGACUCGGUCCUCAGAUCCUCGGAAGGCUCAGCUCUGGGCGGGGCAAGGGACCUUGCAAGUCGGGGGGGCCUCGGGAACUUCUCUCCGCCAGCUGCGACUGGAGGCUGGGAACAGGGGAGACGACCCAGGGCCACGGCCCCUCAGGACUUCAGGCGGCCGGAGGUUGUGGGGACGAAGCGGAGUCGGGAGCCGGGCUUCCGGCCCUCACUACCCCGUCUCGGCCCGCGGGUUGCCUGCGUGCCCGCCCCACCCAGCGGUUAGAGUUACUUGUUAUUGGUAAAUAGCCACUGUGGAGACUAAGGACCAAAAGAAACACAGAAAGAAAUUUUACAGAAGAAAAA
Homo sapiens (human) is the source of this 355-nucleotide long non-coding RNA. The record is from Ensembl. NCBI's taxonomy places the organism in Eukaryota, Metazoa, Chordata, Mammalia, Primates, Hominidae.